This 271-nucleotide ribosomal RNA is filed under the name uncultured bacterium. RNAcentral describes it as "partial 16S ribosomal RNA". It matches the Rfam family "Bacterial small subunit ribosomal RNA", at positions 524 to 794 of the family's 1533-position model. The record is from RNAcentral.
UACGAAGGGUGCAAGCGUUACUCGGAAUUACUGGGCGUAAAGCGUACGUAGGUGGUUUAUCAAGUCCGCUGUCAAAGACUGGGGCUUAACCCCGGGAAGGCAGGGGAAACUGAUAGGCUAGAGUGCGGUAGGUGCAGGAGGAAUUCCCGGUGUAGCGGUGAAAUGCGUAGAUAUCGGGAAGAACACCAGUGGCGAAAGCGUCCUGCAAAGCCGUAACUGACACUGAUGUACGAAAGCUAGGGGAGCGAAUGGGAUUAGAUACCCGGGUAGU